Molecule: ribosomal RNA, 511 nt
Filed under: uncultured bacterium
Lineage: Bacteria
Description: partial 16S ribosomal RNA
Rfam family: Bacterial small subunit ribosomal RNA
Source: RNAcentral
GACGAACGCUGGCGGCGUGCCUAAUACAUGCAAGUAGAACGCUGAAGGAGGAGCUUACUUCUCUGGAUGAGUUGCGAACGGGUGAGUAACGCGUAGGUAACCUGCCUGGUAGCGGGGGAUAACUAUUGGAAUCGAUAGCUAAUACCGCAUAAGAGUAGAUGUUGCAUGACAUUUACUUAAAAGGUGCAAUUGCACCACUACCAGAUGGACCUGCGUUGUAUUAGCUAGUUGGUGGGGUAACGGCUUACCAAGGCGACGAUACAUAGCCGACCUGAGCGGGGGAUCGGCCACACUGGGACUGGGACACGGCCCAGACUCCUACGGGAGGCAGCAGUAGGGAAUCGUCGGCAAUGGGCGGAAGUCGGACCGAGCAACGCCGCGUGAGUGAAGAAGGUCUUCGGAUCGUAAAGCUCUGUUGUAAGAGAAGAACGAGUGUGAGAGUGGAAAGUUCACACUGUGACGGUAUCUUACCAGAAAGGGACGGCUAACUACGUGCCAGCCGCCGCCGUAA